This 84-nucleotide small RNA is filed under the name Pontibacillus halophilus JSM 076056 = DSM 19796. RNAcentral's name for it is "BsrC". It matches the Rfam family "BsrC". Rfam says of the family: The 301 nucleotide sequence from Kouji Nakamura has been trimmed to a highly conserved ~85 nucleotide long core to form this family. The record is from Rfam by way of RNAcentral. Lineage: Bacteria; Bacillati; Bacillota; Bacilli; Caryophanales; Bacillaceae.
GUUCACUCAAACGACGCAAUCCCUACCUCUAUUGCAUCCUUACAGCUCCGAAGCUGAUCCAGUGUGAUCGAGUGACAAAACGUA